ACAUCUCUACACAAUCAACGAGCCCGAUCGAUCGAGAUGUUCUCGCUUUUCAUGAAGCCGACUGACUAAACUGGAAUCAUGACGUGCAAAUGUUGAUUAUUGAUUUAAAGACUAUUAUGACAAAGGCUGAAGUGUGGUGGUGUGUAUACUGUGUAGUUAGACCUAGCGGCGCACGCGCCCUACAUGCAUAAUGUGCGGUGUUACGGCGCGUUACGUGCGCGCGCGCCGUUAUGCAAGCCGCGCGGAACCGGCGGCGGCGCGGCGUGAGAAGCCGCACAACACCUGUAAUACACGUUGGCCAACUUACGGGAACAGAUACAGCAAGCGGAAAAACUCAUGGGACUUAGAAUCUAGAAUUUUGUCAACAACUGUGCCUGAACAAUCUACCUACUGAUUCCACGUUUUAAUAAAGAGAAAAUAUAUAUCCAUCAUUGUAAUGUGAACUCUCUUUAGAAACAGCCAUACAACUGUCGAAGUGAAGAUAGGGAGUGGUCGCAACAAUAACACCGAGAAGAAUCAAUAUCAAUCAGAAUCAAUCAACACCCGGAAGCCGUUGGAGCGACUGAUUGUCCGUUUUGAUCAGUGGUGUGGAGAACAUAUACCUAUCGUAGCUAAAAUCUAUAUGGACUGACUAAAUGGCGCCAGUAAUUUCGACAGUCAUUGCUACACGAGUAUAAAUAACAAUUAUUGCAUUUCGCUUUUAUCUAAUUCGUAUUUGAUAAUCAAUAUUUAGAUAAAGUGAUAAAUUCUGUAAAAUUUACAAUUGUAAGAUACUGGAACCUAAACUAAGAAUGUCAAUAUCUACACUGUUACAUUGCCAGAUAUUGGCACUUGUUGUUUAGCAACA
Achroia grisella is the source of this 847-nucleotide long non-coding RNA. RefSeq lists it as uncharacterized. The transcript has 3 exons. Lineage: Eukaryota; Metazoa; Arthropoda; Insecta; Lepidoptera; Pyralidae. The record is from RefSeq and is a predicted model, not a curated record.